RNAcentral lists this long non-coding RNA (376 nucleotides) under Malus domestica (apple). RNAcentral describes it as "long non-coding RNA (MDOM_LNC003654)". The record is from RNAcentral. Lineage: Eukaryota; Viridiplantae; Streptophyta; Magnoliopsida; Rosales; Rosaceae.
UCACUCACAGAUCCAACACCCUAAUUCCAUAUAGAACCUAGGCUCGCGAUACCAUGUUGAGAUUUUAGUAAUUUACCAUUGAUCUGAUCACUUGGAUUUCGAAGGGAGCAAGAAGAAUGAAAGAGAAGAAGCUAGAGAAAUAGUCAGAGAGAAUAUUUCACAGCUGCAACAUUCUAACCAUUGCAGAAUGAUGCUCCACUUUCAUAUAUUCAUUCAUCCCUUACAUCAGUUAUCAUCACCAUUCAAAUACAUAAGCCAUUGUGAUUAUGACACAUGGCAAUUACAAGGCAUGUGAGCCAUUGAAAAUGAAAAUUGAUCUAAGUCCUACACUUGGCAUAUGAGCUCAAGCUAUCUCAACAGAAAACAGUUUCACAAA